AUUGAACGCUGGCGGCAGGCCUAACACAUGCAAGUCGAGCGGAUGAAGGGAGCUUGCUCCUGGAUUCAGCGGCGGACGGGUGAGUAAUGCCUAGGAAUCUGCCUGGUAGUGGGGGAUAACGUCCGGAAACGGGCGCUAAUACCGCAUACGUCCUGAGGGAGAAAGUGGGGAUCUUCGGACCUCACGCUAUCAGAUGAGCCUAGGUCGGAUUAGCUAGUUGGUGGGGUAAAGGCCUACCAAGGCGACGAUCCGUAACUGGUCUGAGAGGAUGAUCAGUCACACUGGAACUGAGACACGGUCCAGACUCCUACGGGAGGCAGCAGUGGGGAAUAUUGGACAAUGGGCGAAAGCCUGAUCCAGCCAUGCCGCGUGUGUGAAGAAGGUCUUCGGAUUGUAAAGCACUUUAAGUUGGGAGGAGGGGCAGUAAGUUAAUACCUUGCUGUUUUGACGUUACCAACAGAAUAAGCACCGGCUAACUUCGUG
Molecule: ribosomal RNA, 483 nt
Filed under: uncultured bacterium
Lineage: Bacteria
Description: partial 16S ribosomal RNA
Rfam family: Bacterial small subunit ribosomal RNA
Source: RNAcentral